AUUCAAAACAUAAUGGAAAGAGGAAACUAGAGGACUUGGAAGCUGAUAAGACGGACAAGCAAGCAGACAAACAGGACAAGCAAGCUGAUAAGGAAGCCAAUAAAGCCCCUGAUAGUUGGUUUGAAUUGAAAGUUAACACACAUGUUUAUGUAACUGGGUUGCCUGAUGAUGUCAUGGCUGAAGAAGUUGCGGAGGUAUUUUCCAAGUGUGGGAUAAUCAAAGAGGAUCCUGAAACCAAAAAGCCUCAUGUGAAGAUCUAUGUUGACAAAGAGACGGGAAGAGUAAAGGGAGAUACAUUAGUUACAUAUUUGAAGGAACCAUCA
Molecule: unclassified non-coding RNA, 323 nt
Filed under: Hevea brasiliensis (rubber tree)
Lineage: Eukaryota; Viridiplantae; Streptophyta; Magnoliopsida; Malpighiales; Euphorbiaceae
Source: RNAcentral